This 595-nucleotide long non-coding RNA is filed under the name Bos taurus (domestic cattle). RNAcentral describes it as "long non-coding RNA NONBTAT024277". The record is from RNAcentral. Lineage: Eukaryota; Metazoa; Chordata; Mammalia; Artiodactyla; Bovidae.
UACUGGUUGAAAGCUUGUUUGCCUGCAUAACAACAAGAAGCCAGGGGCCUGAAUAGCCCCACAAGUGAGUCAAGUUAGCUGCAAGGAGAACUUCCACAAAUGGAAAGGGUAGUGUACCACAGAAAAGGAUUCAGGAAUUCUGGACUAGGAGUUCCAUCAUAAAGUUAUAACAUAACCUUGUGCAAGUUACCUUGUCUGUUACAUCCCUGCAGUAUGUGUCCACUCGUUCUCAGUUGCCUGAGCUAGGAAUCUGUGAGAGGCAGCUAAGACACUGAUACAUGUCCUUGAAAGGGAGUAAAAGCGUUUCCCUCCCAAAAGUUGAAGAGGAUCCUAGGAAGAACCCUACAUAAUGCAUUUGACUACUGAGAUAUAGAGAGAUGAGUGCGGGAUGGUUAACAGGGCUUAAAAAACUCCUUUCUUCAUCUAACAGGCACCCCUGGGUACUUAAAACAGUGACACAUUGGGGAAUUUAAAAAUGUACUAAAGUACAAACAGAAUUCAGGAAACAUGAAGAAAAUAAUAUGAGGUUCCAUCACACAAUGACAAUUAUGGACAUUUUUUAUGAUUAUGAGCAGUUUAAUGUUUUUUAUUGGCA